This is a non-coding RNA of Oryctolagus cuniculus (rabbit), 2529 nucleotides long. The record is from RefSeq and is a predicted model, not a curated record. NCBI's taxonomy places the organism in Eukaryota, Metazoa, Chordata, Mammalia, Lagomorpha, Leporidae.
UGAAAGAUGCUUUGGGAGCCAGCAUGCGCCAAACUGGAGUCCUUUAAAAGGACCAAAUCCCGGAUAUUUCACUCUGUUCUCACCAGGGACUCUGUGCGAGCAAUUAUGAAGGAACUCAGUAAUUAGCUACACAGCGGACCAAACGCAGCUGGGGAGGAAUCUGGAAAGCCUGAGUCAUGCUGAGGUCACCGUGCACGGCCUGAGACACGGGUGGGCGUCGCCUCCCCGGCCAGGAGACCAGCCCAGGACUGCUGCAGCCGUGGCUCUGCCUGUGGCGGGAGCUGGGGCUGGGGGUCAGCCCGGAGCAGGGCGCGGGUUCCCCGCAGGAGCCGGGACUUUGGAGCUGACCGUGUGUGAGCCCCGGGCAGCCACCCAGUUCACCCAAGGAGCGUUUUCUGCGGACGUGGCACACAUCUUGGAGAAACAGAGAACCCUGGGUGGCAUCGCUUGUGAAAAGGGACAGGAGUUGGACAGCCCAGGGAGCUAGUUUUAGUCAUUUUCAUCACUACUCUGCUAUUUCAACAUCAGUUUCCAUCGUUCUCCAAAAUAUUGCUUUGAACCAAUGUCAAAAUAAACAAGUCCAGCAGCGUCCACGCCGUGGGACCCCAGGAUGCCUGCGUGGGCUCGGUGAGUGCUGCCUCGUGCUCGCCCCUUGCUCUCGGAACCAGUGUGUGAGACGGUAGGCACCACAGUACGGGUGCCCCCGGGCACGGGACAGAAAUCAUGUUGACACACAGAAGCUGGGCGCCUUAUUCAGUCUUUGUUUCAUUAACUUAAAACAACAUGUAUUUAUUUAUUUGAGACAGAGGGAGCUCCCAGCUGAUGGUUUAUUCUGCACAUGUCCACGUUAGCACCAGGUGAGCCCGAGAGAAGCUGGUAGCUGGGAACCCGAUUCAGGCCCCCGCAGGAGUGGCCGGGACCUAAGAAGCCUGCGCCAGCAGGAAGCCGGCACUGGGAGAGGGGCUGGCGCUGGAGCCCAGGCAAGCUGACAUGGGGUGCGGGCAUCUCACCAUUGGGCCCAAUGCCCGCCCCACACUGGGCUUCGGUCCUGCGUUAGGCAACGUUGAUAUCAAACGCCGUAUAACCAAGGAGCUGGGCUUAUGUUUAAUAGCCACACGUGCGCAGACGAAGGCAGCUCAGCACUUCAGUUGUUCACAAGUUGGAAAUCCUUCAGCGAAAGCCUGCUAACCCCAAUCCCCUCUCCUCACAGCUCAUGAGGCCCUAGUCUGCCAGCUAAGGCCACCGCUCGUUCUGUCCUGACACUGUCCGCGCUUGGUGUCAAGCGACGAGGCGAGGGCUGUGCCGACCCCUGCCACUCAGCGCUGCGUUUGGGACUUUUGUCCAUGCCUAUAGGGUGGAGCUCUCCCCUGGAAAGCAGCUCAGGCGAAAGGUGCUGGAACUCAUGGACCUGCUCCUGCUGCUGUGCCCGGCCUGUGUCUCCGUCUCCGCCGGGGCUGCAGCAGGUGUGGGCGCAGGCGUGUGUGUCUCCUGCCGUGGCCUGGAUGGGGCUGUGCGGUCUGAGGCAGCAGGUGGUGAGGGGCCUCCGACCGCAGCAGCACAGCGGACCAGGAGCUCAGCCGCUGCCACCUGAAGCCCACUGCCCUGUGUGUCCCAGGCCGCUCCUGCGGGAAGCCUGGGUGCACGGGAAGACUGACGCAGAGCCAAGCCCCCGGGAUCCUCUUCCAAACACUCUGCAUGAGUGACUUGAGGCCGAAUCCAUGGCUGAGCAGCCUCAGUGCGAGCCUAUCCCAGACAGGUGCUCAUGUGAGUAUGGACUUACUUUGUCUGAGGCUGUGGGCACAUUCAGCUUUAAAACCUGACACCAGUUUUCUAGAAUAAGGCCCGAAGUCACGUCAAGGAGCCGACGAGCAUUUCUGGCCCACCACACCUGUGCAGUGACUGGACGUUGCCAUCAUGUGAAUUGUAGCUUUCCAGGCGACGUGCGAUCGCAGCAUGUGAUUACAGACACCAUGCUGUUACAACUGUUACAACUGCAGACCUUUUGCAAAGAUAUAUGCUCCUCCACAAGUUAUUUGGGGUAAUGAUUUGAAGGAGGAACCCGUUUCAUAUUUUUUUCUGUGAGUAUCCAAAUGGCCAGAGCUUUGCCUGUUCCACAAAUCGGUUCUCGGAUGUGCACGGGUGUGCUUCUGUGGUUUCUGUUUUUGUCGGAGCAUUUGCCUUUCUUCAUGCUAACACCACACCACAGUGGGGACUGCGUCUCUAUAAUGACUGCUGACUCCUAGCAGAGUAAGUCUUUCAUCUUGUUUUGAUUAAGAUAUUCUUGGAUCUUUGAAUUUUCAUAUAUAUUUUAUAGUUGUCUUAUCCAAUUGCAUAGGACAAAUACUGUAUGGUGUUGAUCGAGAUUAUAUAGAACCUACAGCUUAAUCCAUGAACAUGGUAUAUCCUCUGUGGUUUGCCUUUGUAACGUUUUUCUUCAUGUGUUUGUGCUCUGAGCACUUGUACCUUGCUCACUGGAUUCUUUCCAACUGAAAAUUUUGAUAAUACAGUAAAUACCACCAUUGAAAUUUC